CCUACGGGAGGCAGCAGUGGGGAAUAUUGCACAAUGGGGGAAACCCUGAUGCAGCGACGCCGCGUGAGUGAAGAAGUAAUUCGUUAUGUAAAGCUCUAUCAGCAGGGAAGAAAAUGACGGUACCUGAGUAGUAACCCCCGCUAACUACGUGCCAGCAGCCGCGGGUAUACCGAGGGGGCAAGCGUUAUCCGGAUUUACUGGGGGGAAAGGGAGCCUAGACGGCAGUGGAAGGCUGGGGGUAAAGGCGGGGGCUCAACCCGCGGACUGCUCUGGAAACUGGACGGCUGGAGUGCAGGAGAGGUAAGUGGAAUUCCUAGUGUAGCGGUGAAAUGCGUAGAUAUUAGGAGGAACACCAGUGGCGAAGGCGGCUUACUGGACUGUAACUGACGUUGAGGCUCGAAAGCGUGGGGAGCAAACAGGAUUAGAUACCCUAGUAGUC
RNAcentral lists this ribosomal RNA (439 nucleotides) under uncultured bacterium. RNAcentral's name for it is "partial 16S ribosomal RNA". It matches the Rfam family "Bacterial small subunit ribosomal RNA", at positions 338 to 795 of the family's 1533-position model. The record is from RNAcentral.